CCUAAGGUAGCGAAAUUCCUUGUCAGGUAAGUUCUGACCCGCACGAAUGGCGUAAUGAUUUGGGCACUGUCUCAACAGCCCGCCCGGCGAAAUUGUAGUACUGGUGAAGAUGCCAGUUACCCGCAACUAGACGGAAAGACCCCAUGGAGCUUUACUGUAGCCUAAUACUGAAGAUCGGUAAUGCAUGUACAGGAUAGGUGGGAGCCAGCGAAACCCGGGCGUCAGCUCGGAUGGAGGCAACCUUGGAAUACCACCCUUGUAUUGCUGGUUUUCUAACCUGCGGCCAUGAAUCUGGUCGGGGGACACUGUUAGGUGGGCAGUUUGACUGGGGCGGUCGCCUCCAAAAGCGUAACGGAGGCGCUCAAAGGUUGGCUCAGCACGGACGGAAAUCGUGCAUAGAGUGCAAACGCAUAAGCCAACUUGACUGCGAGACCGACGGGUCGAGCAGGUACGAAAGUAGGAGUUAGUGAUCCGGUGGUAUGUGAGUGGAAAUGCCAUCGCUCAACGGAUAAAAGCUACCCUGGGGAUAACAGGCUGAUCUCCCCCAAGCGUCCACAGCGACGGGGAGGUUUGGCACCUCGAUGUCGGCUCGUCACAUCCUGGGGCUGUAUUCGGUCCCAAGGGUUCGGCUGUUCGCCGAUUAAAGUGGCACGCGAGCUGGGUUCAGAACGUCGUGAGACAGUUCGGUCCCUAUCUGUUGCGGGCGUAAGAGAUUUGAAGGGAGCUGUCCUUAGUACGAGAGGACCGGGAUGGACGUACCUCUGGUGCACCAGUUGUCCUGCCAAGGGCAUAGCUGGGUAGCUAUGUACGGACGAGAUAAACGCUGAAAGCAUCUAAGCGUGAAACUCCCCCUAAGAUGAGAUCUCUCACCUCGAAAGAGGGUAAGGGCCCAGGAAGACUACCUGGUAGAUAGGCCGGAGGUGGAAGUGCAGUAAUGUAUGGAGCUGACCGGUACUAAUCGCCCGAGGGCUUGACCUA
This 978-nucleotide ribosomal RNA is filed under the name human metagenome. Its description in RNAcentral is "bacterial LSU rRNA". It matches the Rfam family "Bacterial large subunit ribosomal RNA", at positions 1950 to 2925 of the family's 2925-position model. The record is from RNAcentral.